Molecule: ribosomal RNA, 362 nt
Filed under: uncultured Bacillota bacterium
Lineage: Bacteria; Bacillati; Bacillota
Description: bacterial SSU rRNA
Rfam family: Bacterial small subunit ribosomal RNA
Source: RNAcentral
GGCGAACGGGUGAGUAACACGUUGGGUAAUCUACCUAUGAGACGGGGAUAGCCCCGGGAAACUGGGGUUAAUACCGGAUGUGAUCCUUGGGGCGCAUGUUCCGAGGAGGAAAGGGUGCAAACCGCUCAUAGAUGAGCCCGCGGCCCAUUAGCUAGUUGGCAGGGUAAGAGCCUACCAAGGCGACGAUGGGUAGCCGGUCUGAGAGGAUGGCCGGCCACACUGGGACUGAGACACGGCCCAGACUCCUACGGGAGGCAGCAGCAAGGAAUUUUGGGCAAUGGGGGAAACCCUGACCCAGCGACGCCGCGUGAGCGAAGAAGGCCUUCGGGUCGUAAAGCUCUGUCUUUGGGGACGAAUGGGAC